ACAUACGACCAUAGGUACUAGAGAACUCGGCAUCCCGUCCGCUCUGCCCUAGAUAAACUAGUAACCGCCAGCCUAGUAGUCGGAUCGGUGACGAUCUGAUAACUACGCAGCGUUGUGAUUU
Molecule: ribosomal RNA, 121 nt
Filed under: Pestalotiopsis fici W106-1
Lineage: Eukaryota; Fungi; Ascomycota; Sordariomycetes; Amphisphaeriales; Sporocadaceae
Source: RNAcentral